RNAcentral lists this ribosomal RNA (795 nucleotides) under uncultured bacterium. RNAcentral's name for it is "bacterial SSU rRNA". It matches the Rfam family "Bacterial small subunit ribosomal RNA", at positions 8 to 798 of the family's 1533-position model. The record is from RNAcentral.
AGAGUUUGAUCCUGGCUCAGAUUGAACGCUGGCGGCAGGCCUAACACAUGCAAGUCGAGCGGAUGAGAGGAGCUUGCUCCUUGAUUUAGCGGCGGACGGGUGAGUAAUGCCUAGGAAUCUGCCUGGUAGUGGGGGAUAACGUCCGGAAACGGGCGCUAAUACCGCAUACGUCCUACGGGAGAAAGCAGGGGACCUUCGGGCCUUGCGCUAUCAGAUGAGCCUAGGUCGGAUUAGCUAGUUGGUGAGGUAAUGGCUCACCAAGGCGACGAUCCGUAACUGGUCUGAGAGGAUGAUCAGUCACACUGGAACUGAGACACGGUCCAGACUCCUACGGGAGGCAGCAGUGGGGAAUAUUGGACAAUGGGCGAAAGCCUGAUCCAGCCAUGCCGCGUGUGUGAAGAAGGUCUUCGGAUUGUAAAGCACUUUAAGUUGGGAGGAAGGGCAUUAACCUAAUACGUUAGUGUUUUGACGUUACCGACAGAAUAAGCACCGGCUAACUUCGUGCCAGCAGCCGCGGUAAUACGAAGGGUGCAAGCGUUAAUCGGAAUUACUGGGCGUAAAGCGCGCGUAGGUGGUUCGUUAAGUUGGAUGUGAAAGCCCCGGGCUCAACCUGGGAACUGCAUCCAAAACUGGCGAGCUAGAGUACGGUGGAGGGUGGUGGAAUUUCCUGUGUAGCGGUGAAAUGCGUAGAUAUAGGAAGGAACACCAGUGGCGAAGGCGACCACCUGGACUGAUACUGACACUGAGGUGCGAAAGCGUGGGGAGCAAACAGGAUUAGAUACCCUGGUAGUCCAA